ACGCUCGACACCUACGGUAGGCAGCAGUGGGGAAUAUUGCACAAUGGGGGAAACCCUGAUGCAGCGACGCCGCGUGAGCGAAGAAGUAUUUCGGUAUGUAAAGCUCUAUCAGCAGGGAAGAAACUGACGGUACCUGACUAAGAAGCACCGGCUAAAUACGUGCCAGCAGCGCGGUAAUCUGAGCGGGCUGGCAAGGC
RNAcentral lists this ribosomal RNA (197 nucleotides) under uncultured bacterium. RNAcentral's name for it is "partial 16S ribosomal RNA". It matches the Rfam family "Bacterial small subunit ribosomal RNA", at positions 326 to 539 of the family's 1533-position model. The record is from RNAcentral.